This 253-nucleotide ribosomal RNA is filed under the name uncultured bacterium. Its description in RNAcentral is "partial 16S ribosomal RNA". It matches the Rfam family "Bacterial small subunit ribosomal RNA", at positions 524 to 776 of the family's 1533-position model. The record is from RNAcentral.
UACGAAGGGGGCUAGCGUUGCUCGGAAUUACUGGGCGUAAAGGGCGCGUAGGCGGACAGUUUAGUCAGAGGUGAAAGCCCAGGGCUCAACCUUGGAAUUGCCUUUGAUACUGGCUGUCUUGAGUUCGGGAGAGGUGAGUGGAAUGCCGAGUGUAGAGGUGAAAUUCGUAGAUAUUCGGCGGAACACCAGUGGCGAAGGCGACUCACUGGCCCGAUACUGACGCUGAGGCGCGAAAGCUAGGUAGCGGAACGGG